GAACAAAUGGUCAAAACAAAGAUCUUACAAGGUUAGAAGCAUAGGACUUUAUGUUAGGCCAUAUUCACCCCAAUCCUGGGCAUGUGUAGCUUGCUAUUUGGUUUUCCUGGCAAGCCUGAGAAGGUGGUGGUUAUACAUAUACACUACCGAGUCUCCAGGUCACACCUAUACCUCUAAGAGCGUGCAUUUUGGAACAUUCAAGAUGAUACAUAGGGUGGCUGGAGAGACAGCUCACUGGUGAAGAACACCUGCUGCUCUUCCAAAGGACUCCAGUUCAUUUCCCAUCACUCACAUCAGCCUAUCAAAAGGGAUCGUGACUGAACACAACCAGGACAUCAGAAUCUCUGGCUCUUGUCUUUUAGACUUCGAAGGAGGAUCAUUACUAUUAUUUACUCUACGCCUGCCCAAGACCUCCCUCAGUUCCUUGUCUGCAGGCCUAAACAUCUGAGCAGAGAAAAUAAAAGCAAAGAGUUCCCUAAAAUGCCACCAUACAGAAGGUUCAGGAAGUAAGAAACCUAAAGGCCUAAUUAUGCCUCUGAGAGAAGUGGUUUGGCAUCUCCAUCCCUGGAGGAAUGAUGUAGCACACACCAAGGCUUUAUGAACAGACAGCUUCCAGCCCAGGUUACAAAGCCUUGGGGACUACAGCAGAAAGCCAGCAUGUCAUAAUCACAAGUGUGACGAAAAUCACUCUCUUCCUGUCUCUGAAUGUGACUCCGUGAGAUGCUCAUCUGCUACAGGUUAUCAGCAGGAUCCCCACAUGAGGAACAGAAACGAUUUCCCCUCAAACCCUUUUUCCUGUACCUUAAACCAAGCUCCUCUGUGCUACAAGGUGAUAGAUAAUCCAUGAGAGAAGAUCGUGGAAACUUCAGGAAACAGAGAGGCCCCUGCAAUCAAGCACAUCCCUGGCACCUCUUCAGUGGAAGCUCCUCUGACACCCAUCAAGUUGGUCGUCAUUAAUGCCUUAUUCCCAUCUUCAUUGGCUCCCUGGCUGCACCCUUUGGCUUUAAACUCUCCUAAAGAUGGCUGUCCUGUUAUGAAGGCUGCUUGCUAACUGUUUAAAGUCUGCUCGGAUCUUCUAUUAUGGGCAUUCUGUCCUGUCAACUCAUCUGAUGUCAACCAGCAUGAACCACGUUACUAGCUUGCAUUGCCUCUUGGUCACAUAAGCCCCUCGAACUUUUAUCUGUAUAUUGUCCUAGAGAACAUGAGGCACGAAUCCUCUCUUUUCUUUAUCUCCGUGCACAGUUUCCCGAUAGAGAGAAGCAGAGAGCUCAGUGGGUACAGCUGAAUUGUUGAUUUGGAUGAAACUUGAACUUUAAAGGUUGGGGACAAGCA
Long non-coding RNA from Mus musculus (house mouse), 1332 nucleotides. RefSeq annotates it as predicted gene, 30821. The transcript has 8 exons. The record is from RefSeq and is a predicted model, not a curated record. NCBI's taxonomy places the organism in Eukaryota, Metazoa, Chordata, Mammalia, Rodentia, Muridae.